CACGCCGUAAACGAUGAGUACUAGGUGUAGGGGGUAUCGACCCCCCCUGUGCCGCAGUAAACACAAUAAGUACUCCGCCUGGGAAGUACGAUCGCAAGAUUAAAACUCAAAGGAAUUGACGGGGGCCCGCACAAGCGGCGGAGCAUGCGGAUUAAUUCGAUGCAACGCGAAGAACCUUACCAAGGCUUGACAUAUAGAGGAAACGGCCAGAGAUGGUCGCCCCGCAAGGUCUCUAUACAGGUGG
Molecule: ribosomal RNA, 244 nt
Filed under: uncultured bacterium
Lineage: Bacteria
Description: partial 16S ribosomal RNA
Rfam family: Bacterial small subunit ribosomal RNA
Source: RNAcentral